Molecule: long non-coding RNA, 1586 nt
Organism: Pseudopodoces humilis (Tibetan ground-tit)
Lineage: Eukaryota; Metazoa; Chordata; Aves; Passeriformes; Paridae
Source: RefSeq, a predicted model, not a curated record
GUGCGUGUGUUCAUUCAUGUGUGAGUUACGCUGUGUGCACGGGCUGUGCCGUGUGUGUGUUUUAUGGCAUGUGCGUUUGUGUUACACCGUGCAUGUAAGGCCAUGUGUGUGUUACAGUGUGUUAGGCCGUGCAUGUGAUGCUGUGUGCUCGUGUGUGUCGCCCAGUGCCCAGUGUGCCUGCACAUGUUGUGGCGUGCGUGUGUUACACUGUGGCCACUCCAAAAGCCAGUGUAGGAGGGACAUCGUAAGAUUUUUUUUGUACAUAUAAGCACUUUUCUCUGCUCCCCAGCUCCUUCUUCUCCAGUCCAACUUACUCAUUUCAGCCUGGUCUUCCUGCUCGCUCCUGCCACAUUAUCCCAUUUUUUUUUUCAUUCACGUAUUUGCAGCCCUACAUAGUUUUCUUAUCUAACCCCCAGUCUCCAAGCACAGUGUUUCCAGGUUCCCCAUUAACUCCACAACUGGUUUCCCCCCUCUCUUUGCUCACAGCUCCUCGUCACCAGCCAGUGUCCAGCCAGCCAGCCUCAUUGUUACAGUUCUGAUCAUUUGUGGCUAAGUUUCCCUUAGUUUCCCUCCCUGAGGAAACUCACAGAGGGGAGGAUGUUGUUACUCUGCAGCCUGACGGAUAAUCCCACACAGAAUCACUGAAUCAAUUAGGUUGGAAAAGACCUCUGUGAUCAUUGAGUCCAGCCUAUGACUGUUCAUAACCUUGUCAACUAGACCAGAGCACGUCCAGGCUUUCCUUAAACUUCUCCAGGGAUGGUGACUCUACCACCUCCUUUGGCAGACCCUUCCAAUAUCUGAGCACCCUUUCUGUGAAAAAAAAUCCUCCUGAUGUACAGCCUAAGCCUUCACUGGCACAUCCUGUCGCUGGUUGCUGGGCGAAGAGGCUGAUCCCUGCCUGGCUAAAACUUCCUUUCAGAUUGCUUCGCCAAACAGAAGUACUGGCAUGCUAAAAUCCUUUUUGGGGCUCUGAGCAAGCUAGACCAGAAUGUUACCAUGGCAGUAUUAAAAUUAAAUUGCACAUAUUUCUGAGCUGCCACUUCUGACCAAACUCUCUGCUGAUACUGGUUGUAUCAUAUGAAGCACUAUACAAGUAUGUUAUGGCUGUUGCCUUCCAGAUGUGUGUAUAUUUGCGUAGAAGCUAUCCUGAUGAAAUCAAGGCAAGAACUUGUUUAUAAAGUAGACUUACUGAGGUCUGCUGGAUGGUGGGUUUUAUGUGGAAACUUAUUCUUAAGUGCUUUCUAUGUGAUGGAAAGAAAAUGGACUUAAUAGUUUUCAAAACACAGUAGUAAUACUAGAAGCAUUAUUUAAAGCACGUCAUUUAAAAAUAAAAAUUAGUUUACAUUACUACUUAGUUGGAAAUUUCAAAAAUUAUCUUCUGUUGUAGAGUGCAGAAAUCCCUGAAAUAAUUUUUCCUGUACAGUAGCCUUUGAAGUGUACAUCUGUAUUUUAAAUAAUCCUCUUGAUUAUUCAAGUCUUAUUCAGAAUAUGUUUCCAAGUAUGUCUAGAGAACAUUUAACAGGGAUUAUAUACUGUAUUAGUGUUGAACAUAUAAUCUGUAUUCUGAUAAAUUAUUCUUAAAGGAA